GCGUCUCCAUCUCGGCUCGGCAGCGCGGUCGACUCUUCAUCGAUUGGUUCCGGGUUCGAGUCCCGGGGGGGUGUACCA
This 78-nucleotide transfer RNA is filed under the name Agrococcus sp. SGAir0287. RNAcentral describes it as "tRNA-Lys". The record is from RNAcentral. Lineage: Bacteria; Bacillati; Actinomycetota; Actinomycetes; Micrococcales; Microbacteriaceae.